AUAUCUCUCCGUACGGGAAGGAUGAGAAGCUUCGACUAAGGUUCGAUUCGAGCGCAGCGAGAACGCGUUG
Molecule: small RNA, 70 nt
Filed under: Salmonella enterica subsp. enterica serovar Heidelberg
Lineage: Bacteria; Pseudomonadati; Pseudomonadota; Gammaproteobacteria; Enterobacterales; Enterobacteriaceae
Also listed under: 5 other names
Description: partial RtT sRNA
Rfam family: RtT RNA
About the family: This family represents a bacterial cis-regulatory element known as RtT RNA. The exact function of RtT is unknown although it is thought that it may be involved in changing the cellular response in relation to amino acid starvation.
Source: RNAcentral